UGGCGGCGUGCGGUCGGCUGUUCCCGGGCGGGCUGUUGCGUCAGGGCGCCGGGCUCUGCGUCGGCCACACGAGUGUUAAAUGUCACGGAAUCGUUUUCGGUUGGAAAAGUUCCCUAAGAACACCAGGUCCAGUCUUUUACCUUGUCUACUGCUACCAAACUGUGUCCCCAGGCACCACAUCUUCUUGUCUUUUAUAUAUGUGCAAGAAUGGUUGAAUUCUUUGCUUCCCUGGACAGUGUCUCAGCCUUUUCAGUGAAUAAUUUAGUAUCCAACCUGCCACAACUUGAGGCUGUUUCCUCUCGUCCCAUCACUUAAUGCCUGGGGAAGAGGUUGACCCACUUCGUCACAAUCUCCUUUUAGGCAGUUGUAGAGGGAGGGCAGGGACUCCCAUGAGCCUCCUUCUCUUUAUACUGAGUAAUCCCAUCCUCUUUAUGACUUGUGAGGCUGAAGGGGUGGGCCCCGAUCUGCAGACACGGGGAGAAACACUGGAGGUGCGCAGUCCUGGAGCGGUGCCUUCCAGCAGUGAAUCCAAGGAGCUUGAGCAUCCUGCUCCAGGGAGAGACAGCACUGGCCGAUGUGCUUGUCCAUCUUCUCCAGCACAUGCUGUUACCUUUACAAAGUUAAAACAGGCUCGACAGGAGGAAUCAAAGAUGACCCCACUGGUACAUAUUCAUUUUUGUCUGUGGCUGGUUGGGCUGAGCAGGAGAGAACUGCUCUCCAGUUCCCCAGUGGAGACAGGCUGGCCUCCCCUGUGGCUCCACCAGGAUUGGGCAGCUCUGCAUGGCACCCACUUCAUGACCCUCUGGCUCAGACAGAAUGACUCCUUACCUGUCUUCUGAAGCCUGUGGAUUUCAUCCUCGGCAUGGCAGAAGAAACCAGAGUGUCUGUCUGAGGAUUUCACAGGGCAGUGGCACACAGAAUCCAAGUCUUGAAGUCUCUGAUAAAUUGGCAGUUAUGGAUUAAAACGGUAUGGUAGAAGCUUUAGGAUAUUUCUACCCUCCCCCACUCUGAAGCAGGAAUUAUCUGCCUACAGCUACCUCUCAGACCUCUUCUGGUUUUGUUUUAAACACAUUGGCUUUAUUUCAGGAGGCAUCCCAAUAUUGGCUGAUAUCUGAGACAGCUUAAAAGCAGAUUCAUGCUCACCUAAAAAAUGGCAAUUGGAAGCCUGUCACCAGGGACCAAACACCAAAGAUACCUAGCAAUAGCAAGUUAAUUCAACCUAGCAGAACAGACAAGGAUGAUGUCUUGUGAUGAAUAAGGAAAUCUGAAACAACUCCUGAUCUCGAAAAUAAGUUGUCACGAGCAGAUGAGGUCAUUUUCUGUUCUUUUUGGAAGGGGACAGUGGGCUUGAAUCAUUUCAUGAGUAAAGAAGACAGAAGACAACGUGCUUACGUGGAGCUCCCAAGAAUGAUUGCCUUGGCCUUGGUAACAAAGUACCACCAGCAUUAAUUAAACUUCACUCUCCUAAGAAGUGCUGAUGAACCAUAGUGAUGCUAACAAUUCAUUUCUUCAGAAACACAUGGAGAUCAGCUGCAGUAAGACUCUAGAAAGCUGCAAAGAACAGGUGUGAAGAUAUUCAUAGCUGCUCCUGUGCCAGGAUCUAGCCAUUGUGGAAUCAGGAGAAAAGAGAUUAUUGAGAAAGUUGUGAUCCUUGUCACCUUCUCAUAUACAUCACGUACACUGCUGCAGAGUCACCACUUUGUCUUCUCGACAGCAAGCAUUUGAGAGCCUGUACUCACAAAGAUAUAUUAUGUUGGUUUUCAAGUUAUUUAUUUAUUUUUUAAUAAACGUGUUUAUG
Molecule: long non-coding RNA, 1798 nt
Organism: Gallus gallus (chicken)
Lineage: Eukaryota; Metazoa; Chordata; Aves; Galliformes; Phasianidae
Source: Ensembl